Molecule: ribosomal RNA, 482 nt
Filed under: uncultured bacterium
Lineage: Bacteria
Description: partial 16S ribosomal RNA
Rfam family: Bacterial small subunit ribosomal RNA
Source: RNAcentral
GACGAACGCUGGCGGCGUGCUUAACACAUGCAAGUCGAACGAUGAAGCAGAGAAACGCGCACUUCGGUUCAAAUUUCACUUCGGAUUAGUGGCAGACGGGUGAGUAACGCGUGAGCAACCUACCUCUUACAAAGGGAUAGCCUCGGGAAACCGUGAUUAAUACCAUAUGACACAUUCAUAAGGCAUCUUAAGAAUGUUAAAGCUACGGCGGUAAGAGAUGGGCUCGCGUCCCAUUAGCUAGUUGGUGAGGUAACGGCCCACCAAGGCGACGAUGGGUAACCGGGCUGAGAGGGUGAACGGUCACAGUGGAACUGAGACACGGUCCAAACUCCUACGGGAGGCAGCAGUGGGGAAUAUUGCACAAUGGAGGGAACUCUGAUGCUGCGACGCCGCGUGAGCGAUGAAGGAAUUCGUUUCGUAAAGCUCUGUUCUAUGGGAAGAAAAGGACUGUACCAUAGGAGAAAGCCCCGGCUAAAUACGUG